CUGACUGUGCACUCCUCUGUAAGAUGAGCUACUGGAGCCUCUUCACUGAGGGACUUCCAAUGUCAGUGCUCUUUCCCCCUGGGCUGUGCAGAGUCCUCAAGAAGGCUCUUCCGAUCUUCUGCCUGGAGCUCCAGGUGAAGCUUAGCUUCCACUCACCUGGAACCUGAGAAGAGGAAGAGAGAUCAGAUGGGGGAUGUGUUCACCAUUCAGAUGAGGCAAGGACAAGCAGGAGGCCUUUGGUGUGCCCUCGGAAGUCCGCCUUUGGUGCUCACUGAGCCACUCUGAGAAUGGAGCGAUCCGGCCGGGAGCUGUGUCUCAACUUCACCAUUGUCCUGAUUACGGUUAUCCUUAUGUGGCUCAUUGUGAGGUCCUAUCAGUGAGACAGCAUGCCACUCUCCUGGGAUUGACUGCAACGCUCCAGAGCUGCCUGCUGUGUGCCCUGAGCUCCCACUGCUGUAAUGGGAUGCCUCUCUCGGUACCCCACGGCACUUCUGACCUGCACUCACAGUAUCUGAGGUGCCUCCAGUGUUAGGAUCAAUUGUGUGUUCUCUAAACAUGCUGCUCUCAAGGGCUGCCAAGCGUUUGCCAGUGAACAUUAGAUUUAUUCCCCAAUUUAGAUAAGCCACAGGGUUAAAACGAAACUGGAUUCAUGAUGAUGUAAAAUUACACAAAGCCUGUAAUCUGUCUCACCACAUGUCCCUUCAACCCACACUGUCUGCAACCAAACUUUAAAUCAUCCCGCCAGAGGAAAGAAAUGUUAGAGGAAGUCUUUGUCAGCCCCUGUCACAGCUAUCAUGUGAAUAAAGUUAAAGCAACCACAAAAA
Molecule: long non-coding RNA, 824 nt
Organism: Pteronotus mesoamericanus
Lineage: Eukaryota; Metazoa; Chordata; Mammalia; Chiroptera; Mormoopidae
Exons: 2
Source: RefSeq, a predicted model, not a curated record